RNAcentral lists this long non-coding RNA (884 nucleotides) under Salvia miltiorrhiza (redroot sage). RNAcentral's name for it is "long non-coding RNA (SMIL_LNC010599)". The record is from RNAcentral. Lineage: Eukaryota; Viridiplantae; Streptophyta; Magnoliopsida; Lamiales; Lamiaceae.
ACGCUUUCACCAUUUCACUUUCCGUAAGAUUUGAUUUUUUUUCACAAGCAGCAAAUUUUUGAUUUCUUUCACAUUCAAAUCUUUGACGAAAUCAAUCUAUUUAAACCUCAAUUCCUCAUCCCCAACUCACCUCUUCAUAUGUUAUUUAACUAAAAUCUGCAGAUUCUCCCUACGAAUCCCAGCUGGUAAAUUUUAAUUAUUUUUUUUUGUCAAAGUUUCUUUUCAUUCAUGAUUUCUCAUUUCUGCCAAAAAUACAUAUGCAUACACUGUCAUACAUAUAUACAAAGCAUGACUGUUGUUAAAAGAAAAUAAGAGUAGAAGGAUGAUUUGAAGCAUGCUGAAAAAUGGAGUCUUGAGUCUUGAGUCAUGUUGGCUUUUGUGGAAGUAAUUGCUGUUUCUGGUAUGAGUCGAGUCGGGGAUGGAGGCUGACUGAGGAGAGUGAGAGAGAAUCGAGGAAGGCGGCGGCGGCUCAUCGCUGCUGUCCGUCCGGCGGUGGUGGUCUACCACUGACCGAGGAGAGAGAGAGAUUACGAGGGAGGUCAGCGGCGACGGUUAGCUUUGUCAGCUGAUGUUGUCGUCGGAGGGAGUCAGACGGAGGGAGGCCAGAGGGCGGCGGCCCUGCUGUUGGCGCUCGGCCACGGACGGAGAGAGGGGAGAGCAGUGGGUGACGGCGGCUUAUCGCCGCUGCUUCCCGGCGAGCUUCCGCAGCGGCGGAGCUUUGUGAGAGAGAGAGGAAGGUUGAGGGGAGAGAGGGCGGCUCGACGGCGAUGUCGCCGGAGUUGAGGGCGAUGUCGCGCUGCUGCGUUGCGCGUGUCGUGAGCUUUGAGAGAGAGGGAGAGUUCUGCGUUGUGUGGGGGUGUCAGGCGGAGGAGGAAGAGGCGAGG